GCGGCAGUAGAUUAGUGCUAGAGCCCCCGCCUCGCAUGCGGGGAGACCCGGGUUCGAUUCCCGGUUGCAUCC
Toxocara canis (dog roundworm) is the source of this 72-nucleotide transfer RNA. It matches the Rfam family "tRNA". From Rfam's summary of the family: Transfer RNA (tRNA) molecules are approximately 80 nucleotides in length. Lineage: Eukaryota; Metazoa; Nematoda; Chromadorea; Rhabditida; Toxocaridae. The record is from Rfam.